Acanthochromis polyacanthus (spiny chromis) is the source of this 1352-nucleotide long non-coding RNA. RefSeq lists it as uncharacterized. The transcript has 8 exons. Lineage: Eukaryota; Metazoa; Chordata; Actinopteri; Pomacentridae. The record is from RefSeq and is a predicted model, not a curated record.
UAGCGAGUCUGCAUCGAUGCUCACUCUGGACAAUUUUUUCAGGAAGUGCAACAUCGAAAUGGAGGAGGAAACAACAUAUCGAUGUAAGUUCCACAUGCGUCCAUUAUUUCUCCCACGCCUUUUUCACACUGACAGAACAUCACAAAAAGAGUGGUGUAAAAAGAUAAAUCAAAAGAAACAAAUCUUCUUCUCUGCUGACGUUUGAUUUAAUUGUGCACCACCUGACACCUUAAAAUUUGAACGCAACUGACAGAAUUCAUUUAUUCAUUCAUUUAUUUGUUGGAUUUGAAAUGCCAGAUAAUAGGAUUGGAAAACAUGAGUGAAAAAAAAGUGGGAUGCUUUCAUCUUCUGGAAGCAGCAGCGAGCCUUGUUAGUUGCAACCUGUGCCACAGCGCUACAGCCAUGCACAGUAGGCGUCUUUGUGUUACCAUGGCAAUGACGUCUUCCGUUUUCCGGUGAGGCGACAGGGCGUCCCAUUCCUGACGAUCGCAUUUAUACCCUCCCCCUUCAAUAACAGGUGCCCUCCACAGCUGCGAGUGUGACUUCUUUUGGAGUGACACUCAGUAGUGUAGGGGGAGUGUGUAGGGGGCAGUUUGGGAUUCAGCCUAGAUGUCUCAAGACGGAGUCGGCGUCGUCGUCACUUGGCGGCCAUCUUAGGACAGGGGACUGCUCUGGCGCGCUGUACUGUAGUCAGUGUGGCAGCCUGAAGUUUAGAGAAGUGGAAGGUCCUUGCUGCAAUCCUCAAACCAGCAGGAUCAAAUUGUGAAGAUUACAAUGCACGUUGCUCACAGCCUAUCUCCUGGCCCUUGGAGGCAGCUUGGUGUGAAUGAUGUUCAGGGCCUAACACUGCAAAGAUGCUCCAGCAACUGUGGCGUGUUUGUUUUGAUGGAAAACAUGCUGCAAAUUCGAAGAUGGUGGUUUUGUUCUCCUGCAGAACUUCUCCAUGCCAUCUGAAGAAGAGAGAUUGCAGCAAAGAAAAAGGCAACGAGAGCAGAAAAAACUACAGAUGAGGCUGAGAACCUGCCAGGACUGGGAACAGGAAACGGGGAGAAUCCUUUGGUCAGGGAUGCAAUGGCGGCAGCCCGGUGGUGUGGGACCAGAACUUUCAAGGGAAAAAUUUCCCAUCCCCAAGUUGUCACCAUGGCCAAGGAGGAAUGCGUGAGGGCAGUGGAACUCCUGUGUGUCUGUGAUGGCCAGGAAGAAGAGGAGAGCGCUGAUCUCAGAGAACCGUUCCUUUUUCUUUUUAGUCUGCAGGAAGACUAUGAGACAUUCUGUCAAGAAAUUAUUGACAGGAGAAACAUGAAGGUGUUUUGUGCUUUUGACAAAAAAGAAUAAAGUUUUGUUCAACGGUG